Molecule: transfer RNA, 73 nt
Filed under: Loxodonta africana (African savanna elephant)
Lineage: Eukaryota; Metazoa; Chordata; Mammalia; Proboscidea; Elephantidae
Rfam family: tRNA
About the family: Transfer RNA (tRNA) molecules are approximately 80 nucleotides in length. Their secondary structure includes four short double-helical elements and three loops (D, anti-codon, and T loops).
Source: Rfam by way of RNAcentral
CCCCAGGUGGUAUAAAUGGUUAAUACAUUCAGCUGCUAACUGAAGGUUUGCAGGUUCGAGUCCACCCAGAGGU